This is a long non-coding RNA of Rhagoletis pomonella (apple maggot), 382 nucleotides long. RefSeq lists it as uncharacterized. Lineage: Eukaryota; Metazoa; Arthropoda; Insecta; Diptera; Tephritidae. The record is from RefSeq and is a predicted model, not a curated record. The transcript is spliced from 3 exons.
GCCAGCUUUGGCUACAACUACAUAAAUGUGGUCACAUGUUGCUGUACAAAAGACGUCUUGAAGCAUCGGCAGCUACAUUUAAACAAAUAUAUAUAUUUUAAUACAUAAAUUAUUUAUUUUUAGUUAUUCAAAUUUUUUUAAUUUUUCGUUUAGAUUGUUUCUAUCGGAGAGUCAUUGGAUGUUGCCCAUAGCCAUUGGAAAAUGCUGCAUGGGAAAGAUGAUAACAAAGAUGAAGGGAAAGAUGCCUACAAACGUCUCGAUUCAGUGGAGUCAUCAUAGGAGCAGUAAAUGGUGUUCGGUGAUUCUGCCAAUUUAAUAUGAAGUGUCCGACAAACGCCAGCAGUUACUUGAAAUCAACUUUUUAAAAGAUCUAUAUAUAAGU